Molecule: ribosomal RNA, 1430 nt
Filed under: uncultured organism
Description: 16S ribosomal RNA
Rfam family: Bacterial small subunit ribosomal RNA
Source: RNAcentral
GGACGAACGCUGGCGGCGUGCUUAACACAUGCAAGUCGAACGGAAAGGCCCUGCUUUUGUGGGGUGCUCGAGUGGCGAACGGGUGAGUAACACGUGAGUAACCUGCCCUUGACUUUGGGAUAACUUCAGGAAACUGGGGCUAAUACCGGAUAGGAGCUCCUGCUGCAUGGUGGGGGUUGGAAAGUUUCGGCGGUUGGGGAUGGACUCGCGGCUUAUCAGCUUGUUGGUGGGGUAGUGGCUUACCAAGGCUUUGACGGGUAGCCGGCCUGAGAGGGUGACCGGCCACAUUGGGACUGAGAUACGGCCCAGACUCCUACGGGAGGCAGCAGUGGGGAAUAUUGCACAAUGGGCGGAAGCCUGAUGCAGCAACGCCGCGUGCGGGAUGACGGCCUUCGGGUUGUAAACCGCUUUCGCCUGUGACGAAGCGUGAGUGACGGUAAUGGGUAAAGAAGCACCGGCUAACUACGUGCCAGCAGCCGCGGUGAUACGUAGGGUGCGAGCGUUGUCCGGAUUUAUUGGGCGUAAAGGGCUCGUAGGUGGUUGAUCGCGUCGGAAGUGUAAUCUUGGGGCUUAACCCUGAGCGUGCUUUCGAUACGGGUUGACUUGAGGAAGGUAGGGGAGAAUGGAAUUCCUGGUGGAGCGGUGGAAUGCGCAGAUAUCAGGAGGAACCCCAGUGGCGAAGGCGGUUUCUCUGGGCCCUUUCCUGACGCUGAGGAGCGAAAGCGUGGGGAGCGAACAGGCUUAGAUACCCUGGUAGUCCACGCUGUAAACGGUGGGUACUAGGUGUGGGGUCCAUUCCACGGGUUCCGUGCCGUAGCUAACGCUUUAAGUACCCCGCCUGGGGAGUACGGCCGCAAGGCUAAAACUCAAAGGAAUUGACGGGGCCCCGCACAAGCGGCGGAGCAUGCGGAUUAAUUCGAUGCAACGCGUAGAACCUUACCUGGGUUUGACAUGGAUCGGGAGUGCUCAGAGAUGGGUGUGCCUCUUUUGGGGUCGGUUCACAGGUGGUGCAUGGCUGUCGUCAGCUCGUGUCGUGAGAUGUUGGGUUAAGUCCCGCAACGAGCGCAACCCUUGUUCACUGUUGCCAGCACGUUAUGGUGGGGACUCAGUGGAGACCGCCGGGGUCAACUCGGAGGAAGGUGGGGAUGACGUCAAGUCAUCAUGCCCCUUAUGUCCAGGGCUUCACGCAUGCUACAAUGGCUGGUACAGAGAGUGGCGAGCCUGUGAGGGUGAGCGAAUCUCGGAAAGCCGGUCUCAGUUCGGAUUGGGGUCUGCAACUCGACCUCAUGAAGUCGGAGUCGCUAGUAAUCGCAGAUCAGCAACGCUGCGGUGAAUACGUUCCCGGGGCUUGUACACACCGCCCGUCAAGUCAUGAAAGUUGGUAACACCCGAAGCCGGUGGCCUAACCGUUGUGGGGGAGCCGUCGAAGG